GUAGGAAGCUUGCUUUCUGCCGCCGGCGACCGGCGCACCGGUGAGUAACACGUAUGCAACCUGGCCGUGACAGAUGGAUAACCGGGAGAAAUCCCGCCUAAUACAACAUAAUGCCGGGAGGGGACAUCCCCUGCCGGCCAAAGGGGGCGACCCCGGUCAUGGAUGGGCAUGCGGCGCAUUAGGUAGUUGGUGGGGCAACGGCCCACCAAGCCGACGAUGCGUAGGGGUUCUGAGAGGAAGGUCCCCCACAUUGGAACUGAGACACGGUCCAAACUCCUACGGGAGGCAGCAGUGAGGAAUAUUGGUCAAUGGCCGGAAGGCUGAACCAGCCAAGUCGCGUGAGGGAAUAAGGCCCUACGGGUCGUAAACCUCUUUUGCCAGGGAGCAAUGCCGUCCACGUGUGGACGGAAGGAGAGUACCUGGAGAAAAAGCGUCGGCUAACUCCGUGCCAGCAGCCGCGGUAAUACGGAGGAUGCGAGCGUUAUCCGGAUUUAUUGGGUUUAAAGGGUGCGUAGGCGGCCUGCCAAGUCAGCGGUAAAAUUGCGGGGCUCAACCCCGUACAGCCGUUGAAACUGCCGGGCUCGAGUGGGCGAGAAGUAUG
Molecule: ribosomal RNA, 601 nt
Filed under: uncultured bacterium
Lineage: Bacteria
Description: bacterial SSU rRNA
Rfam family: Bacterial small subunit ribosomal RNA
Source: RNAcentral